GACGAACGCUGGCGGCGUGCUUAACACAUGCAAGUCGAACGAAAAGACGGAAAGAGCUUGCUCUUUUCAGAAUUGAGUGGCAAACGGGUGAGUAACACGUAAACAACCUGCCUUCAGGAUGGGGACAACAGACGGAAACGACUGCUAAUACCGAAUAAGUUCCGAGAGCCGCAUGGCCCAUGGAAGAAAAGGUGGCCUCUACCUGUAAGCUAUCGCCUGAAGAGGGGUUUGCGUCUGAUUAGCUGGUUGGAGGGGUAACGGCCCACCAAGGCGACGAUCAGUAGCCGGUCUGGGAGGAUGAACGGCCACACUGGAACUGAGACACGGUCCAGACUCCUACGGGAGGCAGCAGUGGGGAAUCUUCCGCAAUGGGCGAAAGCCUGACGGAGCAACGCCGCGUGAGUGAUGACGGCCUUCGGGUUGUAAAGCUCUGUGAUCCGGGACGAAAAGGCAGACUGCGAAAAACAGACAGCAUUGACGGUACCGGAAAAGCAAGCCACGGCUAACUAC
This 510-nucleotide ribosomal RNA is filed under the name uncultured Dialister sp. RNAcentral's name for it is "bacterial SSU rRNA". It matches the Rfam family "Bacterial small subunit ribosomal RNA", at positions 28 to 504 of the family's 1533-position model. Lineage: Bacteria; Bacillati; Bacillota; Negativicutes; Veillonellales; Veillonellaceae. The record is from RNAcentral.